GACGAGACGUUGAUAAGGAGUAGUAGUGGUUUAGCUGAAAUAAGAGAAUUGGCGGUUGCUGCAAGCCAAUCAGUAACAUCACGAACUCGCCUUUGAGUUGCAAAUAUGAGUGAAACAUUUUCAUAGUAUUUGCCGUGUUCCGCGAUAAGGAUAAAUGAGUGAGUGCUUGCACUAAUCUGGGUGGUACCGCGGGAGAUAUAAUAUAGCCUCUCGUCCCAUAU
Molecule: non-coding RNA, 221 nt
Filed under: Heyndrickxia ginsengihumi
Lineage: Bacteria; Bacillati; Bacillota; Bacilli; Caryophanales; Bacillaceae
Description: Bacillus ginsengihumi T-box sequence
Rfam family: T-box leader
About the family: Uncharged tRNA acts as the effector for transcription antitermination of genes in the T-box leader family.
Source: RNAcentral